Molecule: long non-coding RNA, 1569 nt
Organism: Oreochromis aureus
Lineage: Eukaryota; Metazoa; Chordata; Actinopteri; Cichliformes; Cichlidae
Source: Ensembl
GUGAGGUUGUGCUGAAAACAAUGAUACCAAACACGGCAAAGUAAAUCGUUUUUAAAGGUGAAAUGUAGACGAAACAUCAAAAGUAGUUAAAAAUGGCCAAUUACACCCUGGACCCCAGAGGGUUAAACUUUUUUUUUUUGUUUAAGUAAUGCAAUAGUUACUUUUCAAGUAAUUAAUUACUUUUAGAAUAUUGUAACUCAGUUACAAUAUUCUAACAGUUUUUUGAAGAAGUAACUAGUAACUAUAAUUAAUUACUUUUUCAAAGUAACUUGCCCAACACUGGUCCCUAACAAUAUAUCAAUCAUAAAAUUUGAAGGUAUAGAACCUCAUUUGGUUUUUCUGCUCCAUGCCAGUGCCUUCACAGUCUCUUCUGUAGAGCAGCCAGGUGGUAACGAUGAUCAUGUCCAGAAAGUGGAACACCAGCUGGUGGUACCAUGUCUUGAAUCUAACUGCGGUAGAGUGCAAUCAGUGAGUCAAGCAGGUCCACCCCAACCAUAGUCUUGUUAUAUUCUUGCACCACAGCAGGGCAGGGGACAGUGAUGUGUUUCUUCUGCUUGCAAUUCCACCUGUUAUGAUAAUAAUAGUCUGUCUGAAGAACGAGAGACAGAUUUUAUGUUAUAAGCUUCAUGUUAUGGAUGCACAGUGUGAGCACUUAAUAAAGUGUAAGUGUUUUUUCUCCCACUGUUGCAAAAGUGGUUGCUGAAAGAGGGUCGUCUGAAUGUUUCUCCAUGAAGCACAUUGAGGUAAAUGUUGUUGGGGCUCCUCCUGUGAUGAUGAGGAGCUCCUCCUGUGAUGAUGAUGAUGAUGAGGAACUCUUCCUGUGUUGAUGAUGAGGAGCUCCUCCUGUGAUGAUGAUGAUGAUGAGGAACUCUUCCUGUGUUGAUGAAGAGGAGCUCCUACUGUGCUGAUGUUGCUCUGUUUAAUGUAGGAGGUCGGGGAGCAGACCUGUGGAGCUGUGGGGGUGACAGCUGAGACGGAGCGUCUACCUCUGCUGUGAGUCUCCUUCAUGUUUCUCCACAUGUAUUUCCACCACUGGAGGGCGCUGUGGGUUAUUGAUGUGUGGGAACAGUAACCAAUCACUGCAGUCUGCAUGGUUCUCUUUGGUCAUGUGACCAUUUGAUCUCUGAUCAGUGUGUUCUUCAGUUUCAGGCCUGUUUCUGCUGACUGCUGCAGGUGAGCUGAUGUUCCUACACCUGUCGGUCCUCAUGAUGACCGCUGACCUUUGGUGACCUUUAGUGACCUCUGUUCUCCUGUUGCAGGUGUGUGUGUGCUGCUGCUGUCCUCUCUGGCUGUUCCUACAGGUGAGUUGAUGAUAAGGAAAAAACACUAAUAAAUGAAAGAGGAGGAGGGAGGAAAGUCCUCCUCCCUCAUUAGAGGAGCUCUGACAAGAUGCAGCAGGGCAAAUGUUGUCAGUCUGCGUCACCUUUUAGAUAAUUUAGGUAGAUUUACAUAAAGCACCUUGAGGUUGUUGUGAUUUGGUGCUAUAUAAAUAAUAUUGAAUUGAAUUUUAGAUCUCCCUCAUGUUUGGUCCUGGGGUCAUGCAGUGUAAUGUUCUCAGAGCUUUUCUGG